CUGAUUUGUAAUCAGCAGGUCGUCGGUUCAAGUCCGACAGCUGGCUCCA
Molecule: transfer RNA, 49 nt
Filed under: Bacillota bacterium
Lineage: Bacteria; Bacillati; Bacillota
Description: tRNA-Leu
Rfam family: tRNA
About the family: Transfer RNA (tRNA) molecules are approximately 80 nucleotides in length. Their secondary structure includes four short double-helical elements and three loops (D, anti-codon, and T loops).
Source: RNAcentral